UACGGGGGGGGCAAGCGUUGUUCGGAAUUACUGGGUGUAAAGGGUUCGUAGGCGGUGCGGCAAGUCGGGAGUGAAAUCUCUGGGCUCAACCCAGAGGCUGCUUCCGAAACUGCUGUGCUUGAGUGUGGGAGGGGCGCGUGGAAUUGCAGGUGUAGCGGUGAAAUGCGUAGAUAUCUGCAGGAACACCCGUGGCGAAAGCGGCGCGCUGGACCACUACUGACGCUGAAGAACGAAAGCUAGGGGAGCAAACAGG
This 253-nucleotide ribosomal RNA is filed under the name uncultured bacterium. RNAcentral describes it as "partial 16S ribosomal RNA". It matches the Rfam family "Bacterial small subunit ribosomal RNA", at positions 524 to 776 of the family's 1533-position model. The record is from RNAcentral.